This 174-nucleotide ribosomal RNA is filed under the name Poecilimon nobilis. RNAcentral's name for it is "5.8S ribosomal RNA". The stretch from base 10 to 164 matches the Rfam family "5.8S ribosomal RNA". From Rfam's summary of the family: 5.8S ribosomal RNA (5.8S rRNA) is a component of the large subunit of the eukaryotic ribosome. It is transcribed by RNA polymerase I as part of the 45S precursor that also contains 18S and 28S rRNA. Functionally, it is thought that 5.8S rRNA may be involved in ribosome translocation. The record is from RNAcentral. Lineage: Eukaryota; Metazoa; Arthropoda; Insecta; Orthoptera; Tettigoniidae.
GAAAAGUACAACCCUGAACGGUGGAUCACUCGGCUCGUGGGUCGAUGAAGAACGCAGCAAAUUGCGCGUCGACAUGUGAACUGCAGGACACAUGAACAUCGACAUUUCGAACGCACAUUGCGGUCCAUGGAUUCCGUUCCCGGACCACGCCUGGCUGAGGGUCGGUAGCUAAAA